CAAUAGCGUAUAUUAAAGUUGUUGCGGUAAAAAGCUCGUAGUUGGAUUUCUGUUGAGGGUGACCGGUCCGUACCAUGUACGCGCAUCUGGAUCGACCUCGGCAUCCUCUCGUCAUACGUUUCUGCGCUUGAUUGCGUGGAGCGGAAUGCGGGACUUUUACUUUGAGGAAAUUAGAGUGUUCACAGCAGGCAAUCGCCAGAAUACAUUAGCAUGGAAUAAUACUAUAGGAUCUUGUUUCUAUUUUGUUGGUUUCUAGGGGCAGGAUAAUGAUUAAUAGGGACAAUUGGGGGCAUUCGUAUCAACACGUCAGAGGUGGAAUUCUUGGAUUGUGUUGCGACGAACUACUGCGAAAGCAUUUGCCAAGGAUGUUUUCAUUGAUCAAGAACGAAAGUAAGGGGAUCGAAGACGAUCAGAU
Molecule: ribosomal RNA, 415 nt
Filed under: uncultured eukaryote
Lineage: Eukaryota
Description: SSU rRNA
Rfam family: Eukaryotic small subunit ribosomal RNA
Source: RNAcentral